This 612-nucleotide long non-coding RNA is filed under the name Gopherus agassizii (Agassiz's desert tortoise). RNAcentral's name for it is "lncRNA (ENSGAGG00000012428.1)". Lineage: Eukaryota; Metazoa; Chordata; Testudines; Testudinidae. The record is from RNAcentral.
CAGGACUUUAUGCAGAUUCUCAGAGGAGAUGUCACAUAAACCCAACUUGCUUUCAACCUAGCCAGGACUUUGCCCUGAACUCUUUGGCAGUGUCUCUCACCUAAGCGUAACCACCUGUGUGCAGCCCUUCUCCAGCACUGACUUUCCAUGCCCAAGGGCUCUGCUCUCUCGGAGAAUGUAUCUAUGGACAUAAGGGGAAAGGCCAAGGACAAACAGUUUUUAAUUUCCCAGAAACAAGGCCAUUUAUUAACACAACUGUAUCUCUCUAAUUGCACCGUACAUUCACAGCUACCUGGGACAUUAUGGCUACAUCGAGGCAACAGACUGGCCACUGAAUACACUCAAGGUCCUCCAGGAGAGCCCGGCCCUCGGGGGCCCCCGGGUCCGCCAGGAGUGCCAGGAUCCGACGGCGCUGAUGGUGACAAAGGCCCGCCAGGCGCUGCUGGGACCCCGGGCUCCAAGGGGGAACCAGGUAUUCCAGGUCCGGACGGGCCCCCGGGGAAGCCAGGCAUUGAGGGCCUAACUGGCACGAAGGGGGAACCAGGGCCACGCGGGAGGCCAGGGACUAAAGUAAGUGACUGGUGUUCGUCUCUCCAGCUCCAGUGCUGCCUU